RNAcentral lists this unclassified non-coding RNA (337 nucleotides) under soil metagenome. Its description in RNAcentral is "partial contains 5.8S ribosomal RNA, internal transcribed spacer 2, and large subunit ribosomal RNA". The stretch from base 1 to 120 matches the Rfam family "5.8S ribosomal RNA", at positions 35 to 154 of the family's 154-position model. The record is from RNAcentral.
GAUGAAGAACGCAGCGAAAUGCGAUAAGUAGUGUGAAUUGCAGAAUUCAGUGAAUCAUCGAAUCUUUGAACGCACAUUGCGCCCCAUGGUAUUCCGUGGGGCAUGCCUGUUCGAGCGUCAUUUACCCCCUCAAGCGCCGCUUGGUGUUGGGCGUCUGUCCCGCUUCGCGCGCGGACUCGCCCCAAAGGUAUUGGCAGCGGUCGUGCCAGCUUCUCGCGCAGCACAUUGCGCUUCUCGAGGCACCGGUGGGCCCGCGUCCAUCAAGCUCACCCCCCCAGUUUGACCUCGGAUCAGGUAGGGAUACCCGCUGAACUUAAGCAUAUCAAUAAGCGGAGGA